GUGCCAGCAGCCGCGGUAAGACAGGAGGAGCGAGUGUUAUUCAGAAUUAUUGGGCGUAAAGGGCAUGUAGGUGGAUUCUGUGGGUUAAUUGUGCCAUUCCAAAUGUUAUCAUUGGGUUUGCGAUUAAUACUUAGUAUCUUGAGAUCAAUGGAGGAAAAUAGAAUUUCUAGUGGAGAGGUUAAAUUCUUAGAGAUUAGAAGGAAUAUCUAAAGCGAAGGCAAUUUUCUGGGUUGAAUCUGACACUGAGGUGCGAAAGCGUG
This 260-nucleotide ribosomal RNA is filed under the name Ostreococcus mediterraneus. RNAcentral describes it as "partial Bacterial small subunit ribosomal RNA". It matches the Rfam family "Bacterial small subunit ribosomal RNA", at positions 505 to 763 of the family's 1533-position model. Lineage: Eukaryota; Viridiplantae; Chlorophyta; Mamiellophyceae; Mamiellales; Bathycoccaceae. The record is from RNAcentral.